AGUAGGAUAAGCUAAUCCAUAAGCUGUUGGGCUCAUAACCCAAAAAUAGAAUUUUUCUUCCUACUA
RNAcentral lists this transfer RNA (66 nucleotides) under Anodonta nuttalliana. RNAcentral's name for it is "tRNA-Met". The record is from RNAcentral. Lineage: Eukaryota; Metazoa; Mollusca; Bivalvia; Unionida; Unionidae.